GGUAGCUCAGUGGUAGAGUGCUUGCCUCACAAGCAUGAGGCCCUGGGUUCGAUUCUUCAGUACCA
This 65-nucleotide transfer RNA is filed under the name Dipodomys ordii (Ord's kangaroo rat). It matches the Rfam family "tRNA". From Rfam's summary of the family: Transfer RNA (tRNA) molecules are approximately 80 nucleotides in length. Their secondary structure includes four short double-helical elements and three loops (D, anti-codon, and T loops). Lineage: Eukaryota; Metazoa; Chordata; Mammalia; Rodentia; Heteromyidae. The record is from Rfam by way of RNAcentral.